Molecule: ribosomal RNA, 465 nt
Filed under: uncultured bacterium
Lineage: Bacteria
Description: partial 16S ribosomal RNA
Rfam family: Bacterial small subunit ribosomal RNA
Source: RNAcentral
GAUGAACGCUGGCGGCGUGCUUAACACAUGCAAGUCGAACGGAAAGGCCCUGCUUGCAGGGUACUCGAGUGGCGAACGGGUGAGUAACACGUGGGUGAUCUGCCCUGUACUUUGGGAUAAGCCUGGGAAACUGGGUCUAAUACCGAAUAUGACAAUUGUUUGGAUGCGAUUGUGGAAAGCUUUUGCGGUAUGGGAUGAGCUCGCGGCCUAUCAGCUUGUUGGUGGGGUAAUGGCCUACCAAGGCGUCGACGGGUAGCCGGCCUGAGAGGGUGUACGGCCACAUUGGGACUGAGAAACGGCCCAGACCCCUACGGGGGGAAGCAGGGGGGAAUAUUGCACAAUGGGCGCAAGCCGGAGGCAGCGACGCCGCGGGGGGGAGGACGGCCUUCGGGUUGUAAACCCCUUUCGCAACCGACGAAGCCUUUUGGUGACGGUAGGUUGGGAAGAAGCACCGGCUAACUACGU